Molecule: transfer RNA, 73 nt
Filed under: Ailuropoda melanoleuca (giant panda)
Lineage: Eukaryota; Metazoa; Chordata; Mammalia; Carnivora; Ursidae
Rfam family: tRNA
About the family: Transfer RNA (tRNA) molecules are approximately 80 nucleotides in length. Their secondary structure includes four short double-helical elements and three loops (D, anti-codon, and T loops).
Source: Rfam by way of RNAcentral
GCGCAGCUGGCUCAGUUGGUAGAGUAUGUGACUCUUGAUCCCAGGAUCGUGAGUCCAAACCCCACAUUGGGCU